CAGUCAGAGGAAGAAAGUCUUGUAUCCUUUAAAACCAAUGUGUUAAAACAAAAGAAGGUCUUGGAAAAAGAUCUGGUAAAAAAACUUAUGUCACUAAAUAGCAUAACUAAAAAAUCAUCUGCUAAUUGCAAAGCCAAAAUGAGCAUUUGGAACGAACAUUCUGUUUCAAUCUCAGUAGCAUUUGCAAACCAUGUUCUGUGCUCUCUGGCUAAUAUUGGAAAGUCUGAGUGGCUUAUUAUUUUUUUUCCUCCGUAAGGAUGCAAAAUACGUAACCUCUGAGCUGAAAGGAGCUAAUCAUACUGUGUUUAGUCAGUCCUGAAUGAAAGAACAGCUCAGAAGAGGGAAAAGAUAUUGAUCUCAAAACAGUGGGGAGAAAAAAGGAGAAGUUUCAAGUGGAUCAUAGUCUUUUUUUGGUCUUUCUACAUCACCAGUGAUUUAUUAAUUCAAUAAUUUUGAUAAUUUAAAUACUGCAACAAAUGUCUUAUGCUUUUGCACAGACUUUUCUAUGGAACUGAUAUGAUAUUAUUUUGUACCCAAUUAUUCCCAGACAUCUUGCAAUAAAGCGCCCUGGCAAGAAAUAUGCAUUAAGAGAUGCUGGAAAAAGAAUUACCGGGGUCCAGACACAGAAGGUUUCACAGAGCAUGGAGCCUGUAGAUUUUUCCAACAAUAAAUUGACCUGUCUUGGAAAUGGAUUUUGUGCAUUCAAACCUGGAAAAUGAUGCACUUUAAGUCUACGGUGGCACAGUGCCUGUCUCUAUAGUGAGGAGCACAGGAGGAGCUGGCAAUUUUUCUCAGAAUUGUGGGAGUAUUUUGUAAACAAGCUUUAUCCCUUCCCUUUGAGAAACAGCUGUCAAGAUAUAAUGGAAUGUUUAUGAACAUUGUUUUAAACUUUAAGUAGAUUUAUUAAAUUAUUUCAAUUCAUAGUGGAUUUUGUUGUGUUCUUUGUUUGUAGGCUGACAGUUUCUGUCACCUGUGCUUGUGGCUCAUAAGUGAUAUGAAUACUCUGUACUACACUGAAAAUUGCAACCAUUUCUGUGUGAACAUGGGAUAUAUUUUCAAAGAAAUGGACAGAAGAUUGACAUGAUGAACAGAAGUAAAUAAAGCUUUUGAGCUUACCCUUGACAUUUAAA
This is a long non-coding RNA of Pseudopipra pipra, 1130 nucleotides long. RefSeq lists it as uncharacterized. The record is from RefSeq and is a predicted model, not a curated record. NCBI's taxonomy places the organism in Eukaryota, Metazoa, Chordata, Aves, Passeriformes, Pipridae. The transcript is spliced from 2 exons.